Molecule: ribosomal RNA, 205 nt
Filed under: uncultured bacterium
Lineage: Bacteria
Description: partial 16S ribosomal RNA
Rfam family: Bacterial small subunit ribosomal RNA
Source: RNAcentral
GACUGCAGGCUGCAACUCGCCUGCACGAAGUCGGAAUUGCUAGUAAUCGUAGGUCAGCAUACUACGGUGAAUACGUUCCCGGGCCUUGUACACACCGCCCGUCAAACCAUGAGAGUUGGCAACACCCGAAGUCGGUAGUCUAACCGCAAGGAGGACGCCGCCGAAGGUAGGGUUGAUGAUUAGGGUUAAGUCGUAACAAGGUACC